GGUUGAUUAAUGGCAGCCAUCACAACUGAGACUGGGGGAUAAUGAGGAGGACAAGAGGGAGGAACAGAGGAGGAGACGGGGAAAAGGAGGAGGGCCGAGGGCAGGAGGAGAGGUAGAGGAUGCAGAGGAUUGGACUAAAUGAAGACAGAUGGUUUGCUGUGGUGACCCUGAAGGGAAAAGCCAAAAAUAGGAGAGCUCAGGUCCACGCCUGCGUGUCCACACGGAUUGGUGUCUGCAUGCCCGUGCGUGUGUGGAAGCUCCAGGAUUUGGUGAUAAAGAGAACCACAUAAUUCGUCAACAUCGCCUCGCCUGACACAAUCCCAUCAGCUCACCUUUAUGCUUUUUUUCCCCAAUAUUGCUCAGCUGAAGCGGAUUCAGUGAUGAAAUGUACGCCGACUGUUCAGGGAAGAAAAUAAAUUAAACAGCAGCA
Long non-coding RNA from Poecilia reticulata (guppy), 430 nucleotides. RefSeq lists it as uncharacterized. NCBI's taxonomy places the organism in Eukaryota, Metazoa, Chordata, Actinopteri, Cyprinodontiformes, Poeciliidae. The record is from RefSeq and is a predicted model, not a curated record.